RNAcentral lists this ribosomal RNA (203 nucleotides) under uncultured bacterium. Its description in RNAcentral is "partial 16S ribosomal RNA". It matches the Rfam family "Bacterial small subunit ribosomal RNA", at positions 524 to 726 of the family's 1533-position model. The record is from RNAcentral.
UACAGAGGUCCCCAAGCGUUGUUCGGAUUCACUGGGCGUAAAGGGUGCGUAGGUGGCGGGGUAAGUCUGACGUGAAAUCUCCGGGCUCAACCCGGAAAUGGCGUUGGAAACUAUCCGGCUGGAGGAGUGGAGGGGGACUGGAAUUCUCGGUGUAGCAGUGAAAUGCGUAGAUAUCGAGAGGAACACCAGCGGCGAAGGCGAGU